UAGGGAAUCUUCGGCAAUGGGGGGAACCCUGACCGAGCAACGCCGCGUGAGUGAAGAAGGUUUUCGGAUCGUAAAGCUCUGUUGUUAAGGAAGAACGAGUGUGAGAAUGGAAAGUUCAUACUGUGACAGUACUUAACCAGAAAGGGACGGCUAACUACGUGCCAGCAGCCGCGGUAAUACGUAGGUCCCGAGCGUUGUCCGGAUUUAUUGGGCGUAAAGCGAGCGCAGGCGGUUAGAUAAGUCUGAAGUUAAAGGCAGUGGCUCAACCAUUGUAGGCUUUGGAAACUGUUUAACUUGAGUGCAGAAGGGGAGAGUGGAAUUCCAUGUGUAGCGGUGAAAUGCGUAGAUAUAUGGAGGAACACCGGUGGCGAAAGCGGCUCUCUGGUCUGUAACUGACGCUGAGGCUCGAAAGCGUGGGGAGCGAACAGGAUUAGAUACCCUGGUAGUCCACGCCGUACGAUGAGUGCUAUGUUAUCCUUUCCGGGACUUAGUGCCGCAGCUAACGCAUUAAGCACUCCGCCUGGGGAGUACGACCGCAAGUU
Molecule: ribosomal RNA, 542 nt
Filed under: uncultured bacterium
Lineage: Bacteria
Description: bacterial SSU rRNA
Rfam family: Bacterial small subunit ribosomal RNA
Source: RNAcentral